GCUGUGGUGGCCGAGUGGUUAAGGCGUCUGUCUUAAGAACAGAUGGAGUAUCCGCGCAAGUUCGAACCUUGCCCACAGCA
RNAcentral lists this transfer RNA (80 nucleotides) under Cladonia macilenta KoLRI003786. RNAcentral describes it as "tRNA-Leu (TAA) (tRNA-Leu-TAA-1-1)". It matches the Rfam family "tRNA". From Rfam's summary of the family: Transfer RNA (tRNA) molecules are approximately 80 nucleotides in length. Their secondary structure includes four short double-helical elements and three loops (D, anti-codon, and T loops). RNAcentral also lists the same sequence under 1 other name. The record is from RNAcentral. Lineage: Eukaryota; Fungi; Ascomycota; Lecanoromycetes; Lecanorales; Cladoniaceae.